This 285-nucleotide long non-coding RNA is filed under the name Elaeis guineensis (African oil palm). RNAcentral's name for it is "long non-coding RNA (EGUI_LNC032996)". The record is from RNAcentral. Lineage: Eukaryota; Viridiplantae; Streptophyta; Magnoliopsida; Arecales; Arecaceae.
CCAAGGAUAAUAGAUUUUAUAUAAGUGUAUAUCCUAUUCCUACAAUGAACUCACUGUAGUCAACAUGCAAUCGCAAAGAUCUAUAUGGCUAGGAGAUCAAUUAUAUCUAUAGUUAAAGUACAAUAAUCUCAUUGUGAAUAACUAAGGCACCGUAGGUCAAAAGACUAGUCACACUACUGUAGUAUCGAGAAAGUCAUUGAGAGUGGAUAGAUAUCUAAGUGAUUUCUUGUAUUGGUCAUACUCGAUAACCUUAUUCUCUAACAAUCAUCUAUAUGUUUACUCCAA